GAAAUGCGAUACGUAAUGUGAAUUGCAAAUUCAGUGAAUCAUCGAGUCUUUGAACGCACAUUGCGCCCCCUGGUAUUCCGGGGGGCAUGCCUGUCCGAGCGUCAUCUCUGCCCUCAAGCACGGCUUGUGUGUUGGGCCCCGUCCUCCGAUCCCGGGGGACGGGCCCGAAAGGCAGCGGCGGCACCGCGUCCGGUCCUCGAGCGUAUGGGGCUUUGUCACCCGCUCUGUAGGCCCGGCCGGCGCUUGCCGAUCAACCCAAAUUUUUAUCCAGGUUGACCUCGGAUCAGGUAGGGAUACCCGCUGAACUUAAGC
RNAcentral lists this unclassified non-coding RNA (312 nucleotides) under plant metagenome. Its description in RNAcentral is "partial contains 5.8S ribosomal RNA, internal transcribed spacer 2, and large subunit ribosomal RNA". The stretch from base 1 to 104 matches the Rfam family "5.8S ribosomal RNA", at positions 50 to 154 of the family's 154-position model. The record is from RNAcentral.